UAUCUCUCCGUACGGGGAAGGAUGAGAAGCUUCGACUAAGGUUCGAUUCGAGCGCAGCGAGAAAGCGUUGCCGUAGGCAACGACCCGAAGGGCGAAGCGCGCAGCGCUGAGU
Molecule: small RNA, 112 nt
Filed under: Salmonella enterica
Lineage: Bacteria; Pseudomonadati; Pseudomonadota; Gammaproteobacteria; Enterobacterales; Enterobacteriaceae
Also listed under: 2 other names
Description: partial RtT sRNA
Rfam family: RtT RNA
About the family: This family represents a bacterial cis-regulatory element known as RtT RNA. The exact function of RtT is unknown although it is thought that it may be involved in changing the cellular response in relation to amino acid starvation.
Source: RNAcentral